UAAUUCGACAACUACAUAGGAAACAGGACAGGGGAAGCUGGUGAGAAUCCAGCACUGUUCCGCAACUGUAUGGGGAGCUCUCUCAUGGCAAGUCCGUCACGAGGACAUGAGAAGCGAGGAACUCAGUCAGAGUGCCUGCCUGUUUCUACUGCAGGAA
RNAcentral lists this non-coding RNA (157 nucleotides) under Dialister sp. Lineage: Bacteria; Bacillati; Bacillota; Negativicutes; Veillonellales; Veillonellaceae. The record is from RNAcentral.